RNAcentral lists this long non-coding RNA (493 nucleotides) under Phoenix dactylifera (date palm). Its description in RNAcentral is "long non-coding RNA (PDAC_LNC010245)". Lineage: Eukaryota; Viridiplantae; Streptophyta; Magnoliopsida; Arecales; Arecaceae. The record is from RNAcentral.
CUGGAUGUGUUGGGUUUUUAGAGUUUAUCCGUGGCUGCUGAAGCUUGAUUUUCCUGCUGGCGAGAACACGGGACGCUAUGGAUUUGUUGCAGUCGGUGGAUGAGGAUGAACGCAGAAGAGGAAAUCUAGGAGGCAGUUGUUUGGGAUGAUCAUCCAAUUGGCCAUGGAUUACUUGGACGUGGGAGAGGGUGAUUCUAGAGAAAGCUGAAGUCGGGGAUUCGGUUGGAUGCGGGAUGAUGCAGUUGGGAUAACGUUCACGAACGGAAGGAGGUGGGAUUCCAGGAGAAGCUGGAAAGCUUGAGAAUCCGUAGAUGAAUCUAUUGGAUGCAGGAGGAGAUAAGGAUGCUGGGAUUUGAGGUUGUUCUGGGAUGCAGGGGAUUUGAUUGAGAUGAAGACGUGUGAAACAGGGAAGGAAUGGAUUCGGUUGGGAUAUAGCUAUGUUUUGAAGCUAAAACAGGGAUGAACUCGGAACAGGGGAUCCCAUGGGAUCAAG